RNAcentral lists this ribosomal RNA (513 nucleotides) under uncultured bacterium. RNAcentral's name for it is "partial 16S ribosomal RNA". It matches the Rfam family "Bacterial small subunit ribosomal RNA", at positions 29 to 523 of the family's 1533-position model. The record is from RNAcentral.
AACGAACGCUGGCGGCGUGCCUAACACAUGCAAGUCGAGCGCGAAUGGAGCAAUCCUAGUAGAGCGGCGCACGGGUGCGUAACACGUGAGUAAUCUGCCUCAAAGAUCGGGAUAACCUUCCGAAAGGUUGGCUAAUACCGGAUAAGCCCACGGGUUCUUCGGAAUCUGAGGGAAAAGGUGGCCUCUGUAUACAAGCUAUCACUUUGAGAUGAGCUCGCGGCCCAUCAGCUAGUUGGCGGGGUAACGGCCCACCAAGGCAACGACGGGUAGCUGGUCUGAGAGGACGAUCAGCCACACUGGAACUGAGACACGGUCCAGACUCCUACGGGAGGCAGCAGUGGGGAAUUUUCCACAAUGGGCGAAAGCCUGAUGGAGCAACGCCGCGUGUGUGAUGAAGGCCUUCGGGUUGUAAAGCACUUUCGACCGGGACGAAAACCCGUAAGCUAACAUCUUACGGCUUGACUGUACCGGGAGAAGAAGCACCGGCUAACUCUGUGCCAGCAGCCGCAGUAA